GACGAACCGUGCGAACGUUAUUCGGAAUCACUGGGCUUAAAGCGCGUGUAGGCGGCCCGGCACGUCCGUCGCUGAAAUCCCCCGGCUCAACCGGGGAAGGGGCGCGGAUACGACCGGGCUGGAGGGGGGUAGGGGGAGCCGGAACUUCCGGUGGAGCGGUGAAAUGCGUUGAGAUCGGAAGGAACGCCCGUGGCGAAAGCGGGCUCCUGGACCCCACCUGACGCUGAGACGCGAAAGCCAGGGGAGCGAACGGG
RNAcentral lists this ribosomal RNA (254 nucleotides) under uncultured bacterium. Its description in RNAcentral is "partial 16S ribosomal RNA". It matches the Rfam family "Bacterial small subunit ribosomal RNA", at positions 524 to 776 of the family's 1533-position model. The record is from RNAcentral. RNAcentral also lists the same sequence under 1 other name.